Paramisgurnus dabryanus is the source of this 3673-nucleotide long non-coding RNA. RefSeq lists it as uncharacterized. The record is from RefSeq and is a predicted model, not a curated record. Lineage: Eukaryota; Metazoa; Chordata; Actinopteri; Cypriniformes; Cobitidae.
UUUGGCCCACGGCCCUCAGUCAGGUUUGGCCCUUGUAAGGAAAAUGUUUGGGCACCAAUGAAUGUUCUAGUCUAUCUGAGGAGGUAACUUUUAGCAUAUGAUAAUGCAUGCUUGCACAAAGUCAGACCACAUAUUAUAAUGUUUGUCUUCAAUCAAUCAAUUUAAACAAAAGAGAUGGGGACUUUAUAAUAUAAUAAGGGUCCAUAUAUCACAGUGAAAAAAGACAUACAUGUAUUUUUACUUUAACAUGAACUAAUGCUGAGUUACAGCAUAUCCUAAUAAUAAACUAUUGAAGAGUCAUCAUUAACUACGACAUGUUUUUCAUUGUUAGUUAAUGCAGUCAUUUACAAUAAAUUAAUUUGAGUUCAUGUUGUAGUUAAGUAAGUUCAGUAAGUUACAUGUCUUAACUCAGCAUUAGUUUAUAUUUACUAAUAUUUAAGUAAGAAUUCAUUUAGGUAUACGUUCAAUGUUUCCAAUGAUGAGCAGUUAAUCCACUAAACCCAGAGAUAAUUCCUGAGGCAUGUUUAAAGAGUUUUGUAUUUCAUCAAGAAGGUGCUGCUGAUUCACAAAGAUUUUAUAUUUAAGAAAAUCUGAGCAUCAUUCCAAAUAACUGUUAACAUGUUUGUCAACUAAACAUGUUUUGUAAACGUAAUAAACUUUAUAAAAAUAUUUUUUAUUUUUUAUUAAUAAUCAAGUAUAAAGAACAAUGCAUAGUGUGAAAACGCGGAUUAUAAAAAGUAUAUUAAAGAAAAGGACUACAUUUCCCAGAAUGCACCUGCACCUACUCAUCUGCCCCCACCCUUCAGGUGCGACUGCUCAACCUAUGGGCUUGACGGGAAAAUUCAAAAUCGCGAACCGUUACUGCCUGGACUACUCCGUCUCUUGUUUGUUUGUUUGCUCAUUAACAGUAAGGUAAGUUUGAUUUAAUUCAUUUGUCUGCAUCGCGCUGAUCGGUUGCCUAUUUGUUCAUAUUAUGUUAUUAACUAUGAUUCGUUUUUGUCUUUAUACUAGAACUGUUUGAAUUUAAAGCACAAACAGUAAAACAUUAAGGUUAUACGUGGUACACAGCGGUAAACAUGAGGUUAAAAAUACGCGAAGUAACAUUCAAACCGGGCUGUUAAAAGAAUCAAUUCGAUGUUUAAAUUUUUAAAAACAAAACUUUAAAGAAGCCAAGAUGAGACGUUAUUUGCUUAAAACAAACAAAACAACAGUAACUCGUGUGUUUGAAAUGUUAGCAGCUAGCAAGUGUCUCUCUGCUAUUUUAAAUGGUACAGACGAUCUUUUGUUGUUUUAAAAGCUCAUUCAGUUCUGGUAGAUGCUGCUUAUUUUUCAAGACUGUUUUAAUAGCUUUAUAUUGAUUUGUAACAAAGCCAGCUUCACUUUAAGAGAACCUAGAUGCUAAUUGUAAAGAAGCUUGGAGUCAUAAUAUAUUUAAACGUUAUAUGUUUGCUGUUCUUCAUCUUUUUAAAUAUGAAGUCUAUACAUGUUUGUGUUUACAGAGGUCAUGUACACUGUGGUCAACUUUGUGGACGAUGAAGAGGUUUCUGGGUAAAGCUGAUAGAAAUAUAAUGAAGUAACAGUGAAAGCUAAAACAUCAGACUGAUCCAGACACUGAAGAAAUUGAUGUCACUGCAAUCUGGCCAAAAUGAUACAACUAUAUUGAAGUAACCUACUGUAAUGAAGCUGCAGAACAACACAGAGACUCUGAGGACAUCAACACAGAAAAUGAAGGCUCCAAAGAGAUGUCUGUCCAGAUGAGGGUGCAUCAACGUUACCUUUGCUGACAAGUAUAUGCUUUACAAUGUAAAACCUAACAGUUAACUUAACUCAAACCAUUUAAGGAAAUCGGUUGCCUUAACCCAUUAAGUUUAAAAAAAAAAACAUACAUUUGAGUACUGUGAACUUAAGUCUUGUGCAAUAAUGCACUUAUAUUUAGUUAGUGUGAACUUAAAUAUAAGUGCAUAACUGCAUGUGACUCAAUUUGUUUAAGUUCACAGUACUCAAAUCUAUGUGUUUUAAAACUUAAAUGGUUUAAUGCAACCGGUUUUCUUAAAUGGUUUGAGUUUAGUUAACUUUUAGGUUUUACUGUGAGAAAUUCUUGAAUAAUUCCAAGACAGAGCUCUGCAAUUGUAUCUACACUGCAAAAAAUCAGUUUCUAACUUAGGAUUUUUAUCUUGUUUUUAGUAGAAAAACUAAAAAUUCUUAAAUCAAGAUGUAUUUUCUUGAUGAGCAAAAUUACCUAAGAAAAUGUCUAGUUUUUAGACAAAAAUAUACAAUUUAAGUAAAUUUGUGCCUAAACAAGCAAAAAUAUCUAACAAUGGGGUGAGAAAAUUGUGCUUGAAUUAAGUUUUUAAGAAAAAAGAAAACUUAAGAUUUUUUCUCACACCAUUGGCAGAUAUUUUUGCUUGUUUUAAGCACAAAUUCACUUAAAUUGUGUGCAUUUAUUUAUUUUGUCUAAAACUAGACUUAUUUUCUUAGGUCAUUUUGUUCAUCAAGAAAAAGCAUUUUAUUUAAAUAAUAUUUCUACUGAAAGCGAGACAAAAAUACUAUGUAAGAAAGUCAUUAUUUUGCAGUGUAGGACUGAUUUCUUGAACAACAACUAUAUUGAUCUUGCUUUAUUUUAUUUAAAUAUUUACUACAUUACAGUGGCAGGUGGUGACUUCUUUUUUUGUGAGCACUCGAUGCAAAGUUUGUCACAACAUGUAUAUAGCCAGUCAUUUGUGUGGUUCAAAAUAUGUGUUCUGUGUGUAUGUGCAUCACGUGUUUUGACUAAACCCGUGAUGCACAUGGUUUACAUGAAGCAACAAACACAUUUUAAAAACACAAGCAACACACAUGACACUCCGAACACUUAUUUUGAAUUUGCACCCCUCGGAUGAGCAGUCACGAGCCGCCACUGCUACAUUACAUUGUACUGCUUUGAAUGUAAUUUUUAUUGUUGCUUUUAUUUUGUUUUAUUUUACUCUAAUAUUGCUUUCUCUGUCUGUAUAUUUAUGAGUUUAAAUAGUAUUGUUUAUGUAUGCAACUUUUAAUAUUUGUGUAUAAUAUUAUUUUGUUAUUGUGACAAUUGUGAAUUGUUCAGUUUUUUAUUAAAUAAACAUUUCAAACUCAAUUCAAGUUUUUUAUUUUACAUAAGGGUUUUGGGGUGUAUAUGAAUAUAAAUAUGAAUAUAUAUAUAUAUAUAUAUAUAUAGUGGGGGGGUUUUUAGUCUAUCUGCAUAGCAGGCAAAUAACCAAUCAAGUCACUAAGCUAUGAGGGCUUGGGUUGGGCUUAAUACAAAGUGUAACCAAUCAAAUAAUCUCAACUGGAAAGUUUCAAAGUUGUGUCCCAAUAGUUGUCAGAGUUUUGGGAGGGGGUUUUAAAAGCAACCAAUCAGUGUUGAGAUUAAACACCAAUGGAGACACUAGAAUUGUGCAAAGGUGUGAAAUCCCAGUACCUCUGCAGGUGUGAAAAUGUCCCCUGACAAAAUCUUCAAUGGGAUUAUUUGCCAUGGCAACAAAUGGCUGCAUGUACCACAGGAAUAUCCCAUCAGCAAGAUACAUCCGAAUUGGUAUCAUUACGGGAGUUUCCUAACUUGGUGGAAUUAGAAGUUUACCCUCAGUGGAACUAGUAGAUACAUCCGAAAAUCAGUGGUGUUUACAGGAGUUUCCUAGUACGGAUACACCUCUUUUCA